Molecule: microRNA precursor, 170 nt
Filed under: Pelobates cultripes (western spadefoot toad)
Lineage: Eukaryota; Metazoa; Chordata; Amphibia; Anura; Pelobatidae
Source: RNAcentral
GCAGACACAUUCCAGCCAAUCAGCAGCAGACCCUCCCUCCCAGACCCUCCCACCUCCUGGACAGCUCAUUAAGAAUGCAGCUUCACAAAAAAUUUGUAAAAUGGAUGCUGUCCAGGAGGUGGGAGGGUCUGGGAGGGAGGGUCUGCUGCUGAUUGGCUGGAAUGUGUCUG